GAACGAACGCUGGCGGCAGGCCUAACACAUGCAAGUCGAACGCCCCGCAAGGGGAGUGGCAGACGGGUGAGUAACGCGUGGGAAUCUACCCAGUGGUACGGAACAACCAAGGGAAACUUUGGCUAAUACCGUAUAAGUCCUUCGGGAGAAAGAUUUAUCGCCAUUGGAUGAGCCCGCGUCGGAUUAGCUAGUUGGUAAGGUAAUGGCUUACCAAGGCUACGAUCCGUAGCUGGUCUGAGAGGAUGAUCAGCCACAUUGGGACUGAGACACGGCCCAAACUCCUACGGGAGGCAGCAGUGGGGAAUAUUGGACAAUGGGCGCAAGCCUGAUCCAGCCAUGCCGCGUGAGUGAUGACGGCCCUAGGGUUGUAAAGCUCUUUCGGCGGGGAAGAUAAUGACUGUACCCGCAGAAGAAGCCCCGGCUAACUUCGUGCCAGCAGCCGCGGUAAUACGAAGGGGGCUAGCGUUGUUCGGAAUCACUGGGCGUAAAGCGUAUGUAGGCGGAUUGUUAAGUCAGGGGUGAAAUCCCGAGGCUCAACCUCGGAACUGCCUUUGAUACUGGCUUUCUUGAGUUCGGGAGAGGUGAGUGGAACUCCUAGUGUAGAGGUGAAAUUCGUAGAUAUUAGGAAGAACACCAGUGGCGAAGGCGGCUCACUGGCCCGAUACUGACGCUGAUGUACGAAAGCGUGGGGAGCAAACAGGACUAGAUACCCUGGUAGUCCACGCCGUAAACGAUGGGUGCUAGCCGUCGG
This 751-nucleotide ribosomal RNA is filed under the name uncultured Alphaproteobacteria bacterium. Its description in RNAcentral is "bacterial SSU rRNA". It matches the Rfam family "Bacterial small subunit ribosomal RNA", at positions 27 to 826 of the family's 1533-position model. Lineage: Bacteria; Pseudomonadati; Pseudomonadota; Alphaproteobacteria. The record is from RNAcentral.